Molecule: ribosomal RNA, 497 nt
Filed under: uncultured bacterium
Lineage: Bacteria
Description: partial 16S ribosomal RNA
Rfam family: Bacterial small subunit ribosomal RNA
Source: RNAcentral
GACGAACGCUGGCGGCGUGCCUAAUACAUGCAAGUUGAGCGCUGAAGGUUGGUACUUGUACCAACUGGAUGAGCAGCGAACGGGUGAGUAACGCGUGGGUAAUCUGCCUUUGAGCGGGGGACAACAUUUGGAAACGAAUGCUAAUACCGCAUAAAAACUUUAAACACAAGUUUUAAGUUUGAAAGAUGCAAUUGCAUCACUCAAAGAUGAUCCCGCGUUGUAUUAGCUAGUUGGUGAGGUAAAGGCUCACCAAGGCGAUGAUACAUAGCCGACCUGAGAGGGGGAUCGGCCACAUUGGGACUGAGACACGGCCCAAACUCCUACGGGAGGCAGCAGUAGGGAAUCUUCGGGAAUGGACGAAAGUCUGACCGAGCAACGCCGCGUGAGUGAAGAAGGGUUUCGGAUCGUAAAACUCUGUUGGUAGAGAAGAAAGUUGGUGAGAGUGGAAAGCUCAUCAAGUGACGGUAACUACCCAGAAAGGGACGGCUAACUACGUG